AAUGCCCAGAUCUGCAUCCUGCAGAAAAUCAUCAAAGCCGUAUCCAGAUUUGAAAAACUUUAAAAAAAAUACAAUUUGGAUCAGAGUUGGAAAGAUGUACACAAAUCUAUAUCUAUAAGAAUUUGGAUACAGAAGUGGAUCCAAGUAGAUCUAUAAUCAGUUUUCAGCCCUACCAAUGAGGCCACUAUGUAUUUAGGACACAAUUUGGUGCAAGGUCUGCCGUAUCGGUACCAGUCGGCGUACCGAUGGCGGCCCGGACCGGUAUGAAACCGGU
Molecule: long non-coding RNA, 274 nt
Filed under: Phoenix dactylifera (date palm)
Lineage: Eukaryota; Viridiplantae; Streptophyta; Magnoliopsida; Arecales; Arecaceae
Description: long non-coding RNA (PDAC_LNC014931)
Source: RNAcentral